Molecule: long non-coding RNA, 760 nt
Organism: Bos taurus (domestic cattle)
Lineage: Eukaryota; Metazoa; Chordata; Mammalia; Artiodactyla; Bovidae
Source: Ensembl
CUUCCAGGGCACCCUGGGACCAAACCAUACCAGUGUCAGUUUUUAAAGAGCCAGGCCUGACAAACUAGAGGAAGGGAAAUAAUAACAAGCGUGCUUUCCUCAAGAUGUGAGGGAGAGGGACCUCCGCAUUCCUCAUCUCUUGACUGAAAUCUCCCAGCCACUGAGAACUCUAGGUAAUAAAUCGUAACUCGUCUUGGCUGUGUGAAAUCUCUUGUUUCCGGGUGCUAGGGAAAACACUGCCAGGGCUUCAUAAUUUCUGGUGAAAUAUGAGGCAGAGUCAGCCAGGAGUCUCUCAGCUGCACAUACGUGAGACAUUUCAGCUCACACGUCUCCAGCCCUGAAAGCUCGACCAUCGGAACGAGGCGGCUGCCUCUUCUGACUGCAUCCCCGCCACGGUCGUCCUCCAGAGACGGUCAGUCCUCACCGCUGCAGAGGUGCGUGCUUCAGCCUCCCAGCAGAAGCGCAUCUGCUACCGCACGUCAGCACGUGGUUCUCGCUCAGCCUCUUGCAGACACGCGCAGAGCGGGCGGGACACCGCUCUGCGGCUGGGCUCAGCUCUCACUCCACUCCAAGAUUAAGCCUGAGGUAUCUGGGCAUCUCUGUGCAUCCCAGACGUUGGUGUUUUUCAUCACUGACAGAUCCCAAAAGUAUGGAGGGGAUUUCAGCAACUCUAUCAGAGCAGCGGUCCUCUGCUUUUGCACGGUUAUAUCUGCUGGUCAUGUCAAUGUUACACACCAGCUCGGGGGAAGCAGGUCACUGG